This is a long non-coding RNA of Clupea harengus (Atlantic herring), 2814 nucleotides long. NCBI's taxonomy places the organism in Eukaryota, Metazoa, Chordata, Actinopteri, Clupeiformes, Clupeidae. The record is from Ensembl.
CUCACUGUUUUGGACACUAUCCUCUCUCUGUCUCUCUCUCUCUCUCUCUCUCUUUCUCUCUCUCUUUCUCUCUCUCUCUCACUCCUUCUUGUUCUCUCCAUCUCUCCAUCACCUUCUGUAGUGUUGCGUCUAUAUAUCGGUGUGUGUGGUAUCAGGAAGUCCGGGCCAGUGAGUCUCUCAAGUGCCACUUUCUUACAGCCUCUAGUUGACCCCGACUCCCAUUUUCUACCAGUCAGUAAAUCAUGAUUCUAAUUCAGAAAAGGAUUUAUCAACAGCAAAAAAAAUCAAUGUCCAGGUCAGUGUAAUGACACAAGCUCCUCUACAAACCUCUACAUGAAACGUGACCCGAAACUCUCACGCGUUGCCCCUCUACAAGUCAAGACAUAGGCUUUACAAUCACCUGACAUAAGCUUCACAAACACCUGACAUAAGCUUCACAAACACCUGACAUAGGCUUCACAAACACCUGACAUAAGCUUAACAAACACUUGACAUAGGCUUCACAAACACCUGACAUAGGCUUCACAAACACCUGACAUAGGCUUCACAAACACCUGACAUAAGCUUAACAAACACCUGACGUAGGCUUCACAAACACUUCACAAACACCUGACAUAAGCUUAACAAACACCUGACGUAGGCUUCACAAACACUUCACAAACACCUGACAUAGGCUUCACAAACACCUGACAUAGGCUUCACAAACACCUGACAUAAGCUUAACAAACACUUCACAAACACCUGUCAUAGGCUUCACAAACACCUGACAUAUGCUUAACAAACACUUGACAUAAGCUUAAAAAACACUUCACAAACACCUGACAUAGGCUUCACAAACACCUGACAUAGGCUUCACAAACACCUGACAUAGGCUUCACAACAAACACCUGCCAAGGGCUUCACAAACACGAACACCUGCAUGCCUCUGCACAUUGGUGCAGUCAUUAGAUGGUGAGCUGGAUAUUUAGCGCUAGACUUAGAACCCUCUCUCAGCUGAGAGACUUUAGCGAACUCCUUGACCUUUGAACUCCUUGACCUUUGAACUCCUUCACCUUUGACCUCCUUCACCUUUGACCUCCACACUAGCGGAUGAUGUCUGGUCAGCCCUCUCAGGGAGACAGGCUGGUCUCACUUUGGCUGAAUUGUCCUUCAGUACUGUGUACUUAAUACAUUAUUGAAUGAUAAGUGCAGUGUACUUCUCAUGUUAGCACAUCAGCUAUCACAAGAGUAACUUGGGUUUUUAGUGUAGUGUGAUGCUUAGUGGGAUGUAUGGUAGUUAGUAGUAUGGUUAUCAUGGGAAGUACAUGCGAUUACUGAUCACGUAGUUAAGUAGACCAGUGGUUCUCAAACUAGGGGUCGGGAUCCCAAGUGGGGUCGCCAAACGUUUUUUGGGGGUCGCGAAAUGAUCUUGCUGCCCUGUGCGUCAACAUAUUAGGCUUUGACAUGCUGUAUAGUCUAUCAGAAAUGGUGUUUUCUACAUCAGGAUGGAUAAUGAAAACUAAUAUUUUCUCAGCAAGCAGUCUCAUCAUUCAAGAUGAAACUGAAUUUAGACCUAUAAUAUCCUGUCAAAAUGUGUUGGGGGUCGCGAGACUUGGCAAAUGGAUUUUAUGGGGUCCCCGGACAAAAAGUUUGAGAACCACUGAAGUAGACCAUGACAAGGACACCGGAGAUAAAGUGGGGACCUCAGGCCUUGUGGAGACAGUGUGCCAGGUCGUCACGGAGACGCAGACGUGGCCGUCUGCUCAGCCUUAGCCAUACUUUUAUAUCCGUAAACAAAAACACGUUUAGAGCUAGCUGUCUAGACUGAACACACCGCCUACAGGGCUGUUUGGGUCUCUUGGUAUUGUCAGCUAAAGGGUUAGCAUGCUUGCUUUGGAUCUGCAAGGCAGUGUGUACAGGAUAGAGGUGUCCUCUUUUCUGUGGCGUUUGGCACAGAAGCGCCAUCUUGUGGACAGAAGACAGAACUAUUCUUUGACCUGUCUAGUCCACUCCUCCUACCCCUUUCUGUCUGUGUCUUUUUCUCCCUCCCUUUCUCACACUCCUCCUCUCUCUCUGUUCAUCAUUCAUUCACAAUUCCACCUCUCUUUGUACAAAAUCUUUGAACACUAGUAGCAGUCCGAAAAAAAGGGACGGGAUUUAAAAAGGUAAAAAAAAUAUGGGAAUAUUUUUGCAGAUGAACUGUACUUGUUAUUUAUGAGCUCUAUCCCCGCAGUGACUGGCAUGAGCAGAAGAAGACUCUUGGUCACAGAGUUAAUUAAGCAAAUUAUAAAAAAAUAUAAAUUGUCUUUUUUUUUUUUUUUUUUUUUUCUAUCUUCUGUUGUCUUUCUCUCUUUUGUUUGACUGUUCAGCCUGUUCUGUUUGCACCCACCCCUGUCUUCUCUGAGGUCCUCUUAGCAGUGGUGUCGUGUGUGAGUCAGUAAGUGCUGUUUAGACUGUCACGGAGCCUCGGUCUUAUCAAAACGAAAGAGAAAAGAAAAAAAAACACUUCAAAAAACACCAAGUGUCUUAAAAUAUUGUAUCGCCAUUGUUUUUAAUGCCAAGUACUUACAGUACUACUUGUAAAUGUUUUGUGUUUCAAAAUGUGGCCUCAAACAAAACUAAACAAUUAUUCUGAUUAUUAUUUGAACGUUUUAUUUUAUUAAGUGCUGUUGACCACUGCUGUGAAAGUAGUUCAUUUUUUGUUGAUUGAUAUGGAAUAAAUAUUUAUGAAAUUUCAGCAUUUCAGUCCUUUUCUUUGCAUCAGUAUUUAUCAGUUAAGACACAACACUCCAUUUACAAUUAGGAGACGCUUUUAUCCAAAGCAACUUACAAGGA